Molecule: ribosomal RNA, 223 nt
Filed under: uncultured bacterium
Lineage: Bacteria
Description: partial 16S ribosomal RNA
Rfam family: Bacterial small subunit ribosomal RNA
Source: RNAcentral
UACGUAGGGUGCAAGCGUUGUCCGGAAUUAUUGGGCGUAAAGAGCUCGUAGGCGGUUCGUCGCGUCGGCUGUGAAAACCUGAGGCUCAACCUCAGGCCUGCAGUCGAUACGGGCGGACUUGAGUACUGCAGGGGAGACUGGAAUUCCUGGUGUAGCGGUGAAAUGCGCAGAUAUCAGGAGGAACACCGGUGGCGAAGGCGGGUCUCUGGGCAGUAACUGACGC